Non-coding RNA from Thamnophis sirtalis, 895 nucleotides. Lineage: Eukaryota; Metazoa; Chordata; Lepidosauria; Squamata; Natricidae. The record is from RefSeq and is a predicted model, not a curated record.
CCCAGUUCUUAUGUCAGAGCCUCCUUCUCUCUCUCUUCUCCAAGUCAGAUUGAUCAGGGUUUCCGAAGAUUGGCUGACCUCAUUAAAGAAGCUGCAUGAUUUUAUUAAAUGAAAAAUGUCCAAGAAGCUAGAAGAUUUCAAGAUAAAACAACUUUAAAAAAAUAUGUUCCUCCAGCUGUAAAGAGUAUACAAUGAUACAGAAUAUAUGUGAUAAAGAAUGUUAUACUCUUUUAAAAUGUACAUUAACAUCUCAAAACAUUGUAUGAAUAAGUGCAAAAACUUACCUAUUAAAUUAGGUUGCCACAAAACUUUACUCAGGGUGAAAUCACCAAAGUUUUAAAUACUUUUCAGAUUUCAUGGAGAUUCUCUUGUUUUGUCUUAGUAUUCUCCCUGAAACUUUAUACAGCACAUUUCAAAAUCAGGCUUAUUUGUGUGGAAUUGAUUUAAUUUCUGUUUCUUUUAAUAAUGUUCUGUAUCUUCUAAUACUCAUCAUGGUUCAUUCAGAAAAUCUUUAAAACUACUCUAUAUGUUGUAUUAAUAUAUUAUUUGAAGUUUUCUGCAAAUGGAAACUUAGAACUCAAGGAAACCAAUUUUUACAGGUAAGAAUGAGCAGAAUUUUAGAAUAGAUUCUCUAAUAUGAGCAACUUUAUUUUUGGCUCAUUUAAAUUAAAUAUUCCAUUCUAUAAUGGUAUGUAUCGCUUAUAAAUUAAAGGCCAUAUUUGAUGUUAUUAUAGUGAUUCUUUCACAGCAAUGUUUUCCAUGGAAAUCCUGAUUUCCUAUAGUUAAAAUUUUGAAUUAAGAAAGCACAUCUUCUUAAUUUCAAUGUGUAAAAUUCCAAUGUGUAAAAGAUAUUUUAUAUGGAUAUUUUAUAUUAUUUAUAAAAAUGAUAUUUAUA